Molecule: ribosomal RNA, 2372 nt
Filed under: Streptomyces lavendulae
Lineage: Bacteria; Bacillati; Actinomycetota; Actinomycetes; Kitasatosporales; Streptomycetaceae
Description: bacterial LSU rRNA
Rfam family: Bacterial large subunit ribosomal RNA
Source: RNAcentral
GGUCGUGACUGCGUGCCUUUUGAAGAAUGAGCCUGCGAGUUAGCGGUGUGUAGCGAGGUUAACCCGUGUGGGGAAGCCGUAGCGAAAGCGAGUCCGAAUAGGGCGAUUGAGUUGCACGCUCUAGACCCGAAGCGGAGUGAUCUAGCCAUGGGCAGGUUGAAGCGGAGGUAAGACUUCGUGGAGGACCGAACCCACCAGGGUUGAAAACCUGGGGGAUGACCUGUGGUUAGGGGUGAAAGGCCAAUCAAACUCCGUGAUAGCUGGUUCUCCCCGAAAUGCAUUUAGGUGCAGCGUCGUGUGUUUCUUGCCGGAGGUAGAGCACUGGAUAGGCGAUGGGCCCUACCGGGUUACUGACCUUAGCCAAACUCCGAAUGCCGGUAAGUGAGAGCACGGCAGUGAGACUGUGGGGGAUAAGCUCCAUGGUCGAGAGGGAAACAGCCCAGAGCAUCGACUAAGGCCCCUAAGCGUACGCUAAGUGGGAAAGGAUGUGGAGUCGCAGAGACAACCAGGAGGUUGGCUUAGAAGCAGCCACCCUUGAAAGAGUGCGUAAUAGCUCACUGGUCAAGUGAUUCCGCGCCGACAAUGUAGCGGGGCUCAAGCGUACCGCCGAAGUCGUGUCAUUGCAGCAAUAGGGCCAACGCCUGCUGUGAUGGGUAGGGGAGCGUCGUGUGCCGGGUGAAGCAGCAGCGGAAGCUAGUUGUGGACGGUUCACGAGUGAGAAUGCAGGCAUGAGUAGCGAUACACACGUGAGAAACGUGUGCGCCGAUUGACUAAGGGUUCCUGGGUCAAGCUGAUCUGCCCAGGGUAAGUCGGGACCUAAGGCGAGGCCGACAGGCGUAGUCGAUGGACAACCGGUUGAUAUUCCGGUACCCGCUUUGAAACGCCCAAUAUCGAAUCAGGCGAUGCUAAGUCCGUGAAGCCGUUCCGGACCCUUCGGGGAAAGGAAAGUGGUGGAGCCGACGAACCAGACUUGUAGUAGGUAAGCGAUGGGGUGACGCAGGAAGGUAGUCCAGCCCGGGCGGUGGUAGUCCCGGGGUAAGGGUGUAGGCCGAGGGGUAGGCAAAUCCGUCCCUCAUUAAGGCUGAGACCUGAUGCCGAGCCGAUUGUGGUGAAGUGGAUGAUCCUAUGCUGUCGAGAAAAGCCUCUAGCGAGUUUCAUGGCGGCCCGUACCCUAAACCGACUCAGGUGGUCAGGUAGAGAAUACCGAGGCGUUCGGGUGAACUAUGGUUAAGGAACUCGGCAAAAUGCCCCCGUAACUUCGGGAGAAGGGGGGCCAUCACUGGUGAUAGCACUUGCUGCUUGAGCUGGGGGUGGCCGCAGAGACCAGCGAGAAGCGACUGUUUACUAAAAACACAGGUCCGUGCGAAGCCGUAAGGCGAUGUAUACGGACUGACGCCUGCCCGGUGCUGGAACGUUAAGGGGACCGGUUAGUGACCUUUCGGGGUUGCGAAGCUGAGAACUUAAGCGCCAGUAAACGGCGGUGGUAACUAUAACCAUCCUAAGGUAGCGAAAUUCCUUGUCGGGUAAGUUCCGACCUGCACGAAUGGCGUAACGACUUCUCGACUGUCUCAACCAUAGGCCCGGUGAAAUUGCACUACGAGUAAAGAUGCUCGUUUCGCGCAGCAGGACGGAAAGACCCCGGGACCUUUACUACAGUUUGAUAUUGGUGUUCGGUUCGGCUUGUGUAGGAUAGGUGGGAGACUUUGAAACCCCAACGCCAGUUGGGGUGGAGUCGCCGUUGAAAUACCACUCUGGUCGUGCUGGAUGUCUAACCUCGGUCCGUGAUCCGGAUCAGGGACAGUGUCUGAUGGGUAGUUUAACUGGGGCGGUUGCCUCCCAAAGGGUAACGGAGGCGCCCAAAGGUUCCCUCAGCCUGGUUGGCAAUCAGGUGUUGAGUGUAAGUGCACAAGGGAGCUUGACUGUGAGACCGACGGGUCGAGCAGGGACGAAAGUCGGGACUAGUGAUCCGGCGGUGGCUUGUGGAAGCGCCGUCGCUCAACGGAUAAAAGGUACCCCGGGGAUAACAGGCUGAUCUUCCCCAAGAGUCCAUAUCGACGGGAUGGUUUGGCACCUCGAUGUCGGCUCGUCGCAUCCUGGGGCUGGAGUCGGUCCCAAGGGUUGGGCUGUUCGCCCAUUAAAGCGGUACGCGAGCUGGGUUUAGAACGUCGUGAGACAGUUCGGUCCCUAUCCGCUGUGCGCGUAGGAAUAUUGAGAAGGGCUGUCCCUAGUACGAGAGGACCGGGACGGACGAACCUCUGGUGUGCCAGUUGUCCUGCCAAGGGCAUGGCUGGUUGGCUACGUUCGGGAGGGAUAACCGCUGAAAGCAUCUAAGCGGGAAGCCUGCUUCAAGAUGAGUAUUCCCACCUCCUUGA